GACGAACCGUGCGAACGUUAUUCGGAAUCACUGGGCUUAAAGGGCGCGUAGGCGGGCGGCCAAGUCAGGGGUGAAAGCCCCCAGCUCAACUGGGGAAGUGCCUUUGAUACUGGUUGUCUCGAGGGAGGUAGGGGCGUGCGGAACUUCCGGUGGAGCGGUGAAAUGCGUAGAUAUCGGAAGGAACGCCGGUGGCGAAAGCGGCGCGCUGGACCUCUUCUGACGCUGAGGCGCGAAAGCUAGGGGAGCAAACGGG
RNAcentral lists this ribosomal RNA (253 nucleotides) under uncultured bacterium. Its description in RNAcentral is "partial 16S ribosomal RNA". It matches the Rfam family "Bacterial small subunit ribosomal RNA", at positions 524 to 776 of the family's 1533-position model. The record is from RNAcentral.